UAAAGAGCUCGUAGGUGGUUUGUCGCGUUGUUCGUGAAAUCUCACGGCUUAACUGUGAGCGUGCGGGCGAUACGGGCAGACUUGAGUACUGCAGGGGAGACUGGAAUUCCUGGUGUAGCGGUGGAAUGCGCAGAUAUCAGGAGGAACACCGGUGGCGAAGGCGGGUCUCUGGGCAGUAACUGACGCUGAGGAGCGAAAGCGUGGGGAGCGAACAGGAUUAGAUACCCUGGUAGUCCACGCCGUAAACGGUGGGUACUAGGUGUGGGUUUCCUUCCUUGGGAUCCGUGCCGUAGCUAACGCAUUAAGUACCCCGCCUGGGGAGUACGGCCGCAAGGCUAAAACUCAAAGAAAUUGACGGGGGCCCGCACAAGCGGCGGAGCAUGUGGAUUAAUUCGAUGCAACGCGAAGAACCUUACCUGGGUUUGACAUGCACAGGACGCCGGCAGAGAUGUCGGUUCCCUUGUGGCCUGUGUGCAGGUGGUGCAUGGCUGUCGUCAGCUCGUGUCGUGAGAUGUUGGGUUAAGUCCCGCAACGAGCGCAACCCUUGUCUCAUGUUGCCAGCGGGUAAUGCCGGGGACUCGUGAGAGACUGCCGGGGUCAACUCGGAGGAAGGUGGGGAUGACGUCAAGUCAUCAUGCCCCUUAUGUCCAGGGCUUCACACAUGCUACAAUGGCCGGUACAAAGGGCUGCGAUGCCGCGAGGUUAAGCGAAUCCUUUUAAAGCCGGUCUCAGUUCGGAUCGGGGUCUGCAACUCGACCCCGUGAAGUCGGAGUCGCUAGUAAUCG
RNAcentral lists this ribosomal RNA (785 nucleotides) under uncultured Mycobacterium sp. RNAcentral describes it as "bacterial SSU rRNA". It matches the Rfam family "Bacterial small subunit ribosomal RNA", at positions 561 to 1344 of the family's 1533-position model. The record is from RNAcentral. Lineage: Bacteria; Bacillati; Actinomycetota; Actinomycetes; Mycobacteriales; Mycobacteriaceae.